CUUGUCUGUGGGGACAGAAUGGAGAGCACCUUGCUCUGUUUGCUACUAGUGCUGAGUACACACAUCUACUCUGGACACUCUGAAGAUGAUGAUGGACAGGCAAAGGCUGAUCUGACCAUACACCCCAACUCAUCCCAGAUAUUCAGUGGAGAGUCUGUGACUCUCAGAUGUAACAUACAGAGGUGAGAAGUCACUGACUGGGAAUACACAUGGCGCAAGGAUGGUGUAGACUCUCUCAGUAGGGAACAUGAAUAUGAGAUCAGUGAGGUUAAGAUGUCAGACAGUGGUGACUACUGGUGUUUCGGUCUACAUAUUGAACAUAAGAAGUUUUCUGA
Long non-coding RNA from Coregonus clupeaformis (lake whitefish), 335 nucleotides. RefSeq lists it as uncharacterized. The transcript has 3 exons. The record is from RefSeq and is a predicted model, not a curated record. NCBI's taxonomy places the organism in Eukaryota, Metazoa, Chordata, Actinopteri, Salmoniformes, Salmonidae.